Molecule: RNase P RNA, 337 nt
Filed under: Candidatus Saccharimonadota bacterium
Lineage: Bacteria; Candidatus Saccharimonadota
Description: RNase P RNA component class A
Rfam family: Bacterial RNase P class A
About the family: Ribonuclease P (RNase P) is a ubiquitous endoribonuclease, found in archaea, bacteria and eukarya as well as chloroplasts and mitochondria.
Source: RNAcentral
CUAGAUUACUAGAUGAUCACCUCAAUUUAUUGAGGAGGAAAGUCCGGGCAGCAUAGGACAAGACAGUUGCUAACGGCAACCGGAAGCGAUUCUAGGGAAAGUGCCACAGAAACGAAACUACCUCUUAUGAGGAAAAGGUGAAACGAGUGGGGUAAGAGCCCACAGCCGACCACGGUGACGUGGAAGGAAGGUAAACCCUGUCUGCUGCAAGGAGAUGUGCUUACAUAAGGCUGUCCGCCGUGAGUGCGUUAUAAGACCCGCUUGAUCUUACUGGCAACGGUAAGACUAGAUAGAUGAUCAUCCACGACAGAACCCGGCUUAUCGGUAAUCUAGUUUA